RNAcentral lists this ribosomal RNA (339 nucleotides) under Goniocotes gallinae. RNAcentral describes it as "SSU rRNA". It matches the Rfam family "Eukaryotic small subunit ribosomal RNA", at positions 121 to 427 of the family's 1831-position model. The record is from RNAcentral. Lineage: Eukaryota; Metazoa; Arthropoda; Insecta; Psocodea; Philopteridae.
AUGGUACGUACAGUUACUUGGAUAACUGUGGCAAUUCUAGAGCUAAUACAUGCAAAUAGAGUUCCGACCGCUGUCGCAGGCGGAAGGAAUGCUUUUAUUAGAUCAAAACCAAUCGGACUUUUCCCCAUAAGCGGGGGAUCGUCCGUUACGUCUUGGUGACUCUGAAUAACUUUGAGCUGAUCGCACGGUCCCGCACCGGCGACGCAUCUUUCAAAUGUCUGACUUAUCAACUUUCGAUGGUAGGCUCUGCGCCUACCAUGGUCGUAACGGGUAACGGGGAAUCAGGGUUCGAUUCCGGAGAGGGAGCCUGAGAAACGGCUACCACAUCCAAGGAAGGCA